CUGCCCUCAAGCACGGCUUGUGUUUGGGCCUUGUCCUCCCCCCGGGGGACAGGCCCGAAAGGCAGCGGCGGCACCGAGUCCGGUCCUCGAGCGUAUGGGGCUUUGUCACCCGCUUCGUAGGCCCGGCCGGCGCCAGCCGACAACCCAUCAUCCUUUUCA
RNAcentral lists this unclassified non-coding RNA (159 nucleotides) under uncultured Penicillium. RNAcentral's name for it is "sequence contains ITS2". Lineage: Eukaryota; Fungi; Ascomycota; Eurotiomycetes; Eurotiales; Aspergillaceae. The record is from RNAcentral.